GACGAGUGGCGGACGGGUGAGUAAUGUCUGGGGAUCUGCCCGAUAGAGGGGGAUAACCACUGGAAACGGUGGCUAAUACCGCAUAACGUCGCAAGACCAAAGAGGGGGACCUUCGGGCCUCUCACUAUCGGAUGAACCCAGAUGGGAUUAGCUAGUAGGCGGGGUAACGGCCCACCUAGGCGACGAUCCCUAGCUGGUCUGAGAGGAUGACCAGCCACACUGGAACUGAGACACGGUCCAGACUCCUACGGGAGGCAGCAGUGGGGAAUAUUGCACAAUGGGCGCAAGCCUGAUGCAGCCAUGCCGCGUGUAUGAAGAAGGCCUUCGGGUUGUAAAGUACUUUCAGCGGGGAGGAAGGCGAUGUGGUUAAUAACCGC
RNAcentral lists this ribosomal RNA (377 nucleotides) under Pantoea ananatis. Its description in RNAcentral is "bacterial SSU rRNA". It matches the Rfam family "Bacterial small subunit ribosomal RNA", at positions 90 to 470 of the family's 1533-position model. Lineage: Bacteria; Pseudomonadati; Pseudomonadota; Gammaproteobacteria; Enterobacterales; Erwiniaceae. The record is from RNAcentral.